CCUACGGGAGGCAGCAGUGGGGAAUCUUGCACAAUGGGCGAAAGCCUGAUGCAGCAACGCCGCGUGCGGGAAGAAGGCCCUCGGGUUGUAAACCGCUUUCAGAAGGAACGAAACUGACGGUACUUUCAGAAGAAGGUGCGGCCAACUACGUGCCAGCAGCCGCGGUGACACGUAGGCACCAAGCGUUGUCCGGAUUUAUUGGGCGUAAAGAGCUCGUAGGCGGUUCAGUAAGUCGGGUGUGAAAACUUUGGGCUUAACCCAAGAGUG
Molecule: ribosomal RNA, 267 nt
Filed under: uncultured bacterium
Lineage: Bacteria
Description: partial 16S ribosomal RNA
Rfam family: Bacterial small subunit ribosomal RNA
Source: RNAcentral